Molecule: long non-coding RNA, 524 nt
Filed under: Sinocyclocheilus anshuiensis
Lineage: Eukaryota; Metazoa; Chordata; Actinopteri; Cypriniformes; Cyprinidae
Description: lncRNA (ENSSANG00000050906.1)
Source: RNAcentral
CAGGGGUUAAGCUGUAGAGAGCACUCCAAAGAUCAUUAUUCGGGUCCUCAUUGAGCACACCUGCUGGCAUUAAACUAAUCACUGGCGUAAUGAUAGGUUCAAUUGAACCUCCAAACUCACCUCGAAUCACUCAGGAAAUAGACUCCAUUCUGAUGUUUUCUACCGCCAAACAAGGGAGACAAAAGCUGCGGCUCUUAAUUCGCAGGAACAGUGAGCCACAGACGGCUAAUCACGUCCGGAACCAAAGGCACCUGCCCUAUCUGCCUCUACAUUUGAAACCUGGCAACAUGCUGAAGAACCAGCAGUAAAUGUGCUCGGUUGCCCAUUGAGUGCCUCGGACAGUGAAUGAUGACUGAUGUGACUACCAGGAUUUUUCCUCCCUCUCUGUUAUACUCAAAAAGUGCUUGGCUUCUUGUAUUCUGUCUCAGGCAAAAUAUAAUAUUUGUAAAAUAGCAAGCUAUGUAACAAAAAGACAAAUACAGAGUUUUGCAAAGAUGUGUUAAUAAACUGAGGCUCAGUAGGAU